This 253-nucleotide ribosomal RNA is filed under the name uncultured bacterium. RNAcentral describes it as "partial 16S ribosomal RNA". It matches the Rfam family "Bacterial small subunit ribosomal RNA", at positions 524 to 776 of the family's 1533-position model. The record is from RNAcentral.
UACGGGGGGGGCAAGCGUUGUUCGGAAUUACUGGGCGUAAAGGGCGCGUAGGCGGCCUGCUAAGUCGGACGUGAAAUCCCCCGGCUCAACCUGGGAACUGCGUCUGAUACUGGAAGGCUUGAGUAUGGGAGAGGGAUGUAGAAUUCCAGGUGUAGCGGUGAAAUGCGUAGAUAUCUGGAGGAAUACCGGUGGCGAAGGCGGCAUCCUGGACCAUUACUGACGCUGAGGCGCGAAAGCUAGGGGAGCAAACGGG